UGGGGAAUAUUGCACAAUGGGCGCAAGCCUGAUGCAGCCAUGCCGCGUGUAUGAAGAAGGCCUUCGGGUUGUAAAGUACUUUCAGCGAGGAGGAAGGCGUUGUGGUUAAUAACCGCAGCGAUUGACGUUACUCGCAGAAGAAGCACCGGCUAACUCCGUGCCAGCAGCCGCGGUCAUACGGAGGGUGCAAGCGUUAAUCGGAAUUACUGGGUGUAAAGCGCACGCAGGCGGUCUGUCAAGUCGGAUGUGAAAUCCCCGGGCUCAACCUGGGAACUGCAUCCGAAACUGGCAGGCUAGAGUCUUGUAGAGGGGGGUAGAAUUCCAGGUGUAGCGGUGAAAUGCGUAGAGAUCUGGAGGAAUACCGGUGGCGAAGGCGGCCCCCUGGACAAAGACUGACGCUCAGGUGCGAAAGCGUGGGGAGCAAACA
RNAcentral lists this ribosomal RNA (427 nucleotides) under uncultured bacterium. RNAcentral's name for it is "partial 16S ribosomal RNA". It matches the Rfam family "Bacterial small subunit ribosomal RNA", at positions 355 to 774 of the family's 1533-position model. The record is from RNAcentral.